Molecule: non-coding RNA, 56 nt
Filed under: Eutreptiella gymnastica
Lineage: Eukaryota; Euglenozoa; Euglenophyceae; Eutreptiales; Eutreptiaceae
Source: RNAcentral
UUUUUUUGAUUUGUUGUUCUUUCUUCUUUCUUCUUUCUUCUUGUUUGUGCGAAAUA